UUAAGCGACUAAGCGUACACGGUGGAUGCCCUGGCAGUCAGAGGCGAUGAAGGACGUGCUAAUCUGCGAAAAGCGUCGGUAAGGUGAUAUGAACCGUUACAGCCGGCGAUGUCCGAAUGGGGAAACCCAGUGUGAUUCGUCACACUAUCGUUAACUGAAUACAUAGGUUAACGAGGCGAACCGGGGGAACUGAAACAUCUAAGUACCCCGAGGAAAAGAAAUCAACCGAGAUUCCCCCAGUAGCGGCGAGCGAACGGGGAGCAGCCCAGAGUCUGAAUCAGCUUGUGUGUUAGUGGAACGGUCUGGAAAGUCCGACGGUACAGGGUGAUAGUCCCGUACACCAAAAUGCACAGGCUGUGAACUCGAAGAGUAGGGCGGGACACGUGGUAUCCUGUCUGAAUAUGGGGGGACCAUCCUCCAAGGCUAAAUACUCCUGACUGACCGAUAGUGAACCAGUACCGUGAGGGAAAGGCGAAAAGAACCCCGGCGAGGGGAGUGAAAAAGAACCUGAAACCGUGUACGUACAAGCAGUGGGAGCACCUUCGGGUGUGACUGCGUACCUUUUGUAUAAUGGGUCAGCGACUUAUAUUCUGUAGCAAGGUUAACCGUAUAGGGGAGCCGCAGGGAAACCGAGUCUUAACUGGGCGUUAAGUUGCAGGGUAUAGACCCGAAACCCGGUGAUCUAGCCAUGGGCAGGUUGAAGGUUGGGUAACACUAACUGGAGGACCGAACCGACUAAUGUUGAAAAAUUAGCGGAUGACUUGUGGCUGGGGGUGAAAGGCCAAUCAAACCGGGAGAUAGCUGGUUCUCCCCGAAAGCUAUUUAGGUAGCGCCUCGUGAACUCAUCUUCGGGGGUAGAGCACUGUUUCGGCUAGGGGGUCAUCCCGACUUACCAACCCGAUGCAAACUACGAAUACCGAAGAAUGUUAUCACGGGAGACACACGGCGGGUGCUAACGUCCGUCGUGAAGAGGGAAACAACCCAGACCGCCAGCUAAGGUCCCAAAGUCAUGGUUAAGUGGGAAACGAUGUGGGAAGGCACAGACAGCCAGGAUGUUGGCUUAGAAGCAGCCAUCAUUUAAAGAAAGCGUAAUAGCUCACUGGUCGAGUCGGCCUGCGCGGAAGAUGUAACGGGGCUAAACCAUGCACCGAAGCUGCGGCAGCGACACUAUGUGUUGUUGGGUAGGGGAGCGUUCUGUAAGCCUGCGAAGGUGUGCUGUGAGGCAUGCUGGAGGUAUCAGAAGUGCGAAUGCUGACAUAAGUAACGAUAAAGCGGGUGAAAAGCCCGCUCGCCGGAAGACCAAGGGUUCCUGUCCAACGUUAAUCGGGGCAGGGUGAGUCGACCCCUAAGGCGAGGCCGAAAGGCGUAGUCGAUGGGAAACAGGUUAAUAUUCCUGUACUUGGUGUUACUGCGAAGGGGGGACGGAGAAGGCUAUGUUAGCCGGGCGACGGUUGUCCCGGUUUAAGCAUGUAGGCUGGUUAUCCAGGCAAAUCCGGAUAAUCAAGGCUGAGGUGUGAUGACGAGGCACUACGGUGCUGAAGUAACAAAUGCCCUGCUUCCAGGAAAAGCCUCUAAGCAUCAGGUAACAUCAAAUCGUACCCCAAACCGACACAGGUGGUCAGGUAGAGAAUACCAAGGCGCUUGAGAGAACUCGGGUGAAGGAACUAGGCAAAAUGGUGCCGUAACUUCGGGAGAAGGCACGCUGGUGUGUAGGUGAAGUCCCUGCGGAUGGAGCUGAGACCAGUCGAAGAUACCAGCUGGCUGCAACUGUUUAUUAAAAACACAGCACUGUGCAAACACGAAAGUGGACGUAUACGGUGUGACGCCUGCCCGGUGCCGGAAGGUUAAUUGAUGGGGUUAUCCGUAAGGAGAAGCUCUUGAUCGAAGCCCCGGUAAACGGCGGCCGUAACUAUAACGGUCCUAAGGUAGCGAAAUUCCUUGUCGGGUAAGUUCCGACCUGCACGAAUGGCGUAAUGAUGGCCAGGCUGUCUCCACCCGAGACUCAGUGAAAUUGAACUCGCUGUGAAGAUGCAGUGUACCCGCGGCAAGACGGAAAGACCCCGUGAACCUUUACUAUAGCUUGACACUGAACAUUGAGCCUUGAUGUGUAGGAUAGGUGGGAGGCUUUGAAGCGUGGACGCCAGUCUGCGUGGAGCCAACCUUGAAAUACCACCCUUUAAUGUUUGAUGUUCUAACGUUGGCCCCUUACCGGGGUUGCGGACAGUGUCUGGUGGGUAGUUUGACUGGGGCGGUCUCCUCCCAAAGCGUAACGGAGGAGCACGAAGGUUAGCUAAUCCUGGUCGGACAUCAGGAGGUUAGUGCAAUGGCAUAAGCUAGCUUGACUGCGAGCGUGACGGCGCGAGCAGGUGCGAAAGCAGGUCAUAGUGAUCCGGUGGUUCUGAAUGGAAGGGCCAUCGCUCAACGGAUAAAAGGUACUCCGGGGAUAACAGGCUGAUACCGCCCAAGAGUUCAUAUCGACGGCGGUGUUUGGCACCUCGAUGUCGGCUCAUCACAUCCUGGGGCUGAAGUAGGUCCCAAGGGUAUGGCUGUUCGCCAUUUAAAGUGGUACGCGAGCUGGGUUUAGAACGUCGUGAGACAGUUCGGUCCCUAUCUGCCGUGGGCGCUGGAGAAUUGAGGGGGGCUGCUCCUAGUACGAGAGGACCGGAGUGGACGCAUCACUGGUGUUCGGGUUGUCAUGCCAAUGGCACUGCCCGGUAGCUAAAUGCGGAAGAGAUAAGUGCUGAAAGCAUCUAAGCACGAAACUUGCCCCGAGAUGAGUUCUCCCUGAGACUUUAAGUCUCCUGAAGGAACGUUAAAGACGAUGACGUUGAUAGGCCGGGUGUGUAAGCGCAGCGAUGCGUUGAGCUAACCGGUACUAAUGAACCGUGAGGCUUAACCUU
This 2900-nucleotide ribosomal RNA is filed under the name Klebsiella pneumoniae. RNAcentral's name for it is "23S ribosomal RNA". It matches the Rfam family "Bacterial large subunit ribosomal RNA". Lineage: Bacteria; Pseudomonadati; Pseudomonadota; Gammaproteobacteria; Enterobacterales; Enterobacteriaceae. The record is from RNAcentral.